AUGAGACAAAAUAUAAUAUCUACCAACAAAAAGAGAAGUUCAGUCAAAAAGAUAUUCAUGCCAAGUACCAUGAACAAAUCAGUGCAAUUACAGCACAAGGCAGAAUCUCUAAUUGCAAUACUUAAAUCAAUUAUAAUUGCAGGAGCCCAGGUACACCACAGCAUCUGGUCAGGCAGGAUGUCUCACUGGGGGCUGAGCCAAACAGCCAAGAACACCAUCACCAAUGCCAUCCACAUGGGCACCUCUCAAACAUGGACCUUGGGUUCAGUCCCACAGGGAAGCCCUCCACAGAACACCCUCCAAGAGCAGAGCUGAGGUUUUGGUUUUCCCCGGGACUAUAUCAACCUGCUACUCGCAGAUGCGGACGCUGCACUUCACAGGCAGAAGCACAAACAUCAAACUGGGCUGCUGCAGACUUCAGGCAUUGACUUCAGUGGAAGACAGCCACAUCUUGCUGUGGGGAAAACAGGCCAAGCAAUUAAAUAUGCAUCAGCAUUAAAGCUAAAUAUACAGAAAUAGCUUACAGACAUAAUUCUGCCUUACCAGCUCGGCAUGCAUAACCUGCAUACAUAUUUCAUUUUUAACUAUGAAGACAAAACUUUUGUGCAAUAUACUUUCUGUGACACUAUCUUUACCAUUCCAUGCAUCACUGAGACUUGCAGCAAUAAAAAAUAAUAUGACAGCAUUAGUAGUAACUAGGCUUUUUUUUUUUUUUACUAGAAACUUAUUCAAAUUAUAAUUGACUUUAGAGACAAUACCGUAACAUUAACAAUAAGUAUCUCAUAAAAUUCCUUUCUUGGUGCUUAAGCCUCCAGUGUUCAGCUCUGACCUUCCAAUUCUUUCUUUUCUUCCUUUACCUUUUUUCUUUAACAGUCAAUUCCCAAUAAUAUAAUCCAUAAUAACGUGAACUCAUAACAAAAGGCAGGCCUGUGAGCCAUUCUGCCUCAGAGCAACAUCCACAGCACACAAAAAAGCCAAAAAAUCAAACAAAAUAAAAAAAGAAACAAAACAAAAAAACCCAACAAACCAACAAAAAAACCCAAACCAAACCAAACAAAAAAACAGGCAGAAACAUUAAGCUGCAGCCACAAAUUUAAUCCUUACUUCCAACAGCAAAAUGAGGGUAUCUGCAUCCCACAUUUCAUAUAACUUUAUAUU
Molecule: long non-coding RNA, 1158 nt
Filed under: Ficedula albicollis (Collared flycatcher)
Lineage: Eukaryota; Metazoa; Chordata; Aves; Passeriformes; Muscicapidae
Description: lncRNA (ENSFALG00000026982.1)
Source: RNAcentral